AAUUAUUAAAAUUGAUUUUAAAUUAAUUCUUGCAACAUUAGUCAAGUAUUUUAUUAUUGGCAAGUAUUUGUAUUGUUAUUAAUAAAUAAUAAACAACUUCAGUAGUUGAGAAUAUGUUAAAAAAUUAAGACCGAUGUUGAAUCAUCUGAGAGAGGUAAAUUUGUAUGUUAAACAAGUAGACAUGUUAACAUCUUAAUUCUAGAAAUCUUAACACAAAUUUCAUGUUAUCAUAAAAUGAAAUUUUAAUUCAUGCUUAUUACUUUCAUAGAAUUUCCAGAACUGGAACUUUGAGUGAUGAGGCACAUGUGUAACUACUUUAUAUAACAGAUGCUAUGUUUCUAACCUUUACAAAGUUCUCACUGUACUUGUAUUUAAACCUUUAUAUGAAACACAAUAAGCCCAAACCACCUUAUUCACACUGGAAUAAAGAUUUGCCAAUUUAUUUAUCUUACCAGAAUUACUAGUGUUUUUUUUUAACUUGUGCUUAACAAGGUUGAAAUAUAUUUUUACCUCUGAUAUUUUCAAACUAUCUAAUUUAAUUCAUAAAAUAGCUAUAAACCAUAAAAACAGGGGCUGAGAUAUUCCGUAAACCUAAAAGAAUACAUGUGAAUGUGAAAGUAUGAAGAACCCAUCAGGCUGACAUUGCAGUGACUUAACUGAGAAUGUGUUUAAUUGAAAUCUGUGGUGGCUUCUUUGUACCACUGGUUCUGUUUCUGUGCUUCUGGCAGCUGUGGGUUCAGGAACUCUCCAAAGCAAGUGCUUAGAACGUUGUGAUGUCUGAACUUUUAGGACAAACAGAAAAAAAUAAAAUAAAGUUACUCUUGUCCUUGAUCUAGUGAAUAAACUGAAUAUAGGAUUUGGCUUUAUUCACUAAUUCAAUCUUAUUAACCUUUUAUAGGUUCCUCAUGGUUUUAUACAUAUGUAUAAUGUGGGAUAAUGGAACAAAGUUAAUCUCUCUAUGUACAUAUCUGUAUAUAAAGUUACAUAUAUAUAUAUACAUAUAUAUAUAUAUAAACAUUCAGUAAAGAAAUCAGCUUAAUAGUUCAUCAGUUCUUGCAGUGACAAAAAAAUAGUCUGAAAUCAACUAUAACAAUUGUGAGAAUGGAAACUGCAAGCUAAAGUAACUCAUGUACCACAGAUCCAAAUAAUGACAAUGGACACAUCAAAUUUAAUGAUGAAAAAUAAAUCAUCAAAAACAAUCACUUAGAAACUAUUCUAUCAUUAAAUUAUUAAGUAAUAAGAUUAUUUAGCAGACUUUUAGACAGCAUGUCUGUUGGGAUCAGAAUGGCUCUGACCCCUCUAAGAUUGCCUCCACCUCCCCUGUUCUGAGUGUGCUGAGGUCAGGCUGUUCUGCGGAUGUUUUGCUGUUUGGUAUAUCUCCUAGUUUGGCAGCUGUGGCUUCUUGGGGCAUACUGACCAUUCCUUGACCCUGGGUGCUUGAUAAACAAUUUUGUUUGUUUCCUCCUGAAAGGGUAUAUAAGAUGGGGAAGAAAGAAUAAAAGGGUCCUGAUGCUUGCAACUUGACUGAUGUGUGCUGUGUUCAUAUCGACUUCCCUCGCCAGGUUUCGGUCCCAAUUGCCAUGAAGGCACCGCACAAGUCAACCAAGAAAUCAUAAUUAUCAUCACAUAGGCUCACACUUAGGCAACUAUGCUGGUGAAACUUCAUGGGUGUCGCUUCCGAGAUUCUAGAAGACACAAUCUCACAGCUAAUUCACUGUAAGGCCAAUCAACAGCAGCCUUUCAUUGUGUUACGUGUUUGGAAAAGUUGACACUGACCGAGGUUGUGAAGACAAGGCAAGACAUGUUCUGAAGAGAUCAUCGCUUUCAACCUCCAGGUCCCAUGACUGUCUUUCAAACAACAACACUGAAACCUAUAACUACUAAAAUCAGCCACUUAAUUUUUACUUAUCUUCAAAGGACCAUUUCCUAAAGUUAAUGAAAACAAAAUACAAUCACAAUGAUGGUUUGUUUAAGUGAUGAUCUAAUUACUUUAUAGAAAAUUACCUUCCUUCCUUAAAACAGCGUGAAGCUGCCAAACCCACUGCUGUAGUGAGGAGCCUCAUGCUAUUUGGCUUCUGGGCUCCAUCUGUGUCUGCCUGCAUCUGCUUUCAUCCUCCUCAAACUCCUCUCCAAAGGAGCACAGAGAAUCUGCAAUUCAUGUCAGGGCAGCCAGCCAGAUUAGAAGCUGCCAACAACAUCAGGUUUUGUGAGAAGAAUUAAGUUACUUAAGCAUUCUCUGCAGCAUAGCCAUAGUGCUGCUGGAUGCAAGCUUAUGCCGCUUGAGUCUGUAUUUCCACCCUGCUGCGAAAAGAUAAUUUAGAAGUGACAGAGUGAGGUUAUGAUGUGAUUUGGACAUUUUACAGUGACCUAACCUUUUCAAAUGUUCUUCUCACUGUCUGUUUAUGUUGAUAGUACAUUUUGAAAACGCCCCCUCCCUUUUUGAGGCUGUUGUUGAAGGGUUUUAACAGGCCCAAACGUGUAAACAUGGUGCCAGCUGGUCCUGCCCUUCCCCCUUCUCUUUCUGAAAAACCACUAGAGCCCCUGCUGGACUCC
Molecule: non-coding RNA, 2553 nt
Organism: Peromyscus maniculatus bairdii (prairie deer mouse)
Lineage: Eukaryota; Metazoa; Chordata; Mammalia; Rodentia; Cricetidae
Source: RefSeq, a predicted model, not a curated record